GUAAUCAUCUGCAACAAACCUCACAUGAGGCUUGGAAGUAGACGCACUGAAUAAUAGUUGGGUCCUUUUAUGAGCUUGUCAGGGUGAGUGGAAUUAGGGAUAGAUGCCCAUUUCGCCCUUUUCAGUGUUAGUAGUUAGUCGGGAGUCUGUACAAUUAUUUCUGUUUUUGCAAAGCAGAUCAGAAGAGUGUUUUCUGCAAUGAAAUAGCAAUCCCUCUUGUUGUUUGUUGUAACUUGUAAACGUACAAGUUUGAUUGGCUGAGGAUAAUAUUGUUCACAACUCAAUAAAUUGCACCAAAUGGCACUUUACAUAUCUGACAGUCUCAUGGUGACAAACACUAACUUUACAGAAACAUAAAUGGAACAAACUCUAAGCCAAUGUGGGCACACAGACACAAUAAAUACAUUAUAGUACAAAUUUUGAAACACUAAUUCAAGCUGAGAACAAGCUGUUGGCGACUAUGCUUCAUCUGGUCUCCUGUCAUGCAUAAUAGGAUUUUGGAUAUAAAUUGUCAGCAUCACUGUGAUGGAAAUGAACUUCUCUAUCUGAAAAUUUUGCAAUGUAAGGUGCAUACUGUUAGCAUAACAUCAGAAGGCAUAAGAAAGAUGACAUUCUCAAUACAUAUAACUCUAGAAGGCACAAUCCUACUUUUUUAUGGAUUACAAAUAUUAUUUCAUAAGAAAGAUGACCUUGUCAAUCUAUGAUGAAACAAACAACUAAAACUUCAUAAUGGCACACCAUAUACCUGUUGGUUUGCAUAAAAGGCUUCUAAUCAGCGGAUUUGUUUUAUGGGAAUACUAGCUAUUUUAUCCCAUUCUGGUCCAUCCUUGACUUGCAGUCGGUUCAUCAAAGUUGGUUUGCACCCAAUCAGAUGAAGAACUUGCAGCGAAGAUGGGAAGCGACUUGGCAGCGACUCCAACUCAGCACAAUUCAUAAUGCUCAGUUUUCUAAGAGAAUUGUUGUUGAAGUUGGUAGGGAAAGAUUCCACAGUGACCUUGGAGCAAUUUUCGAUCAAUAUACUUUCUAGUGCCACAAAACUUGGCAGUGAGUGUAGAGAGGAAAAUUCAGGACACUGCUGAAUGUGUAGCUCAUGAAAUUUUGUUAAGCAGUCUGAACUUUCCAUCUGUGGAAGACAUGUGAUGUUGUUGCAGUUUGAUAUCUCCAGCCAGGUAAGUGCUUGUAAACCCCUCAAACAAGUGUCCAACUGCUCAUCAUUAAUGUUUGAAUGAGAUAUUUGCAGCCUCUUCAAGGAAGUCAGCACCUGAAGCUCUUCAAACUUUACAUCCUCACAGUUCCUCAGAGUCAAAAUAGCAACUGCUUCCACUUGUUGCUGGUGCAUUAAUCCAUUUGUGAGGACGGUGGCAGAGCACGUAUCUAAUGCAAACUUGCUUGCUUUUGAUAACGAGGAGGAGGAUGAUAGUUUCAGUUGUGAAACAAAACCGGUAUUUUUUACCAAGACCUUCCUAACGGAUAGAGGAAGAUGAGGCACCUUAAUCAACUCAGGACAGUUCAAAAGCCUCAGUUUACGGAGUUUAGGGAACACUUCAAUGUUCCUUUCUUCUUGUGUCCACUCCACCCACUGUGGCAUAUCAUCAAAUUCAAGUUCCUCCAAAGAUGGAAAUGCAGUUAAUUUGGUUCCAUAGGAAUCGCAGCUGAUUUUUUUCACUGAACACAUCUCUUUCAAAUGCAGAACCUUGAGGCAUGGAAGCUGCCCGAGAGGAGGCAAGGCCUCCCACUUUCUGCAGUUGAUCAAAUGCAGAUAUUUAAUGUAUAGGUCACUCGCUCUCAAGCUUUCGCUCAACCAGUUUGGUGAUCUGUUACCAUGAUAUCUUCUAAUGAUAAGCUUUUUAACAUACUGGUGCGGUUCAAGACCGUCCAAGACUUUAGCCUCAACAGAAGGCACACUCUUACCAGUCGAGUUCCAUUCUAACUCCAGGACCUUAACAUUCUCCUUCUUGUUUAAUCCAGCUUGGUAGGCUUCUUCCUGAUCCUUUACAACAUCAAGGUUCUUGAUAUGAAGCUCUUUGCGAAGACCACUCAUACCAUUCAAGUCUCCUAAAGUAUGCCCCUUUUCAUUUUUCACAUGGAACUUAAUUGAUCCCUGCAGGUGAACCAGUUUCCCAAUACCAGUGAUUUUUGAUGUAUCCAUAUCCAAAUGUCGCAGACGUUUCAGGUUUACUAUGUUUUGGGGGACCUCAAGGCCAGAUCCCUUAGGACUACUAAAGGUUUGAAGACGAUAGAGCUUUGUCACUGCUUGUGGAAGCCUGGUGAUUGAUUUACAAAGGGCCAGGUAUCUGAGGUAUUUAAGAUUCCCAAUUCGCUCUGAAAGACGAACGAUAUUACAGCCUUCCAAGCCAAGAACUCGAAGACUUCUCAGCUCUGUGAAAAGAUCACCUGGCAGUUGAUCCAACGAAGAGGAAGGGCCCUUGAGAAUCAGCAAUGUGUGUAAUCUUUUGAGCUCACAUCGGCUUUUGAGCUCACAUCGGCUUUUGAGCUGUGCCAUGGUAUCACUGGACACCGAGAAGUGCCGGACUGUCUUUGGGAUCUCUUGCUUUGCAUCUUCAAUUCUCACGCAAUCAAAGCGAGAAACAUUUUCGGCCAAAUCAUGCAUCAGGUCAUGGAUGUAAUAGUACCUCCGACGCCCUACCUUUUGCCUAUGGAAAAAGGACCUGUCCACAAGCUGAUCAAAGUAAUCGCUCCCCACAUCCUCCAAUUGGAUGAAAUCAAGGGCCAUCCAUAUCUUCACCAGCUUAUCACGCUUGAACCUCCACUUCUUUGGGAAUAAGCUACAGAUUGCAAAGCAUGGUUGCAGGUGUUCUGGUAAAUUGUGGUAACACAACUCCAAUGUUUUGAAAAUAUUGUCAAAGCUAUCCAUAUCGAGCACCCUUUUCCAGUGGGUGACCCUGCGGCUGCCUUCCAGCAUCUGUCCAACGGCCUUGGCUACCAUUGGUGACCCCUUGAGCUUUUCAGCAAUUUUUCUCCCGAUGUCUUGCAGUUCUUGAGGCUGCUUAUUAAUGUCUUCCUCGCCAAAGGCACACCUCUUGAACAGAGACCAGAUGGCAUCCGCCGGCAAGUCAUCCAACCAGACCUCCUUGCUUGCGUACAGCAAAUCUGCCAUGAUUUUUUGGCGAGUGGUGAUCACAAUCUUGCUCCCCGUCGUCUUCCCAUUGCCGAUGGGUGCCAGCACCUUGGACCACAUUUCUCGGUAGGCAUGCCCGUUUAUGUCCUCCCUGUUCCAAUUCCAGACGUCGUCGAUCACCAGCAGAAAUCUGCGCGACGAGACUUCCUCCUGGAGUUUCACCUGUAACCAGUUGAAGUUCUUCAUGCCGUUCGGCACAUCGACAUUGACAGAAUGCAGGAGUUGCUUGGCGAGCUCAAACUCGUUGUCCGUAGCAGCGGGCUGGAUCCAGAUCUUGAGGUCGAAGGCAGAGUCCACUUCCUGAUCCUCGAACAGGAGCUGCGCCAGCGUGGUCUUCCCCAUCCCGCCAUGGCCCAUGAUCGCGGCGACCGGGACAGACCUGGCGUCGCCGCCGUCGGGCGUGCCGACGAGCCACGACACCAUGUCCUGCAGCUCCCUGUCGCGCCCGAACACCACGUGCUCGCGGUCGCGCACGGAGCCCGUGGCUCCGCCGUGGAGCCCUUGGUGGUGGCCGCUCAGGUCACCGGAGCCCAACCCCGACCCAUGGGCCGCCGCCGCCUGCAUCAGCGCCGGGGAGUUAGCUUGGACGGCUUGCAGCUUCUCGACGACGUCCUUGAGCCUGUUGACGCGCUCGUCGGCGCCCAAGAUCCGCUUGCCGAACCUGGCGACGGGGGAUUCGGGCUGCGGGGCCGAGUCGUCGAAGUCGUCGAGGACGUCUCUGGCCUCGUACACGGCGUCGAUGAGCUGCUGAAGCCACGCGCGGAGGUCCCGGCUUUUGUCCGGCGAGCCCCGCGCCUGGACGGCGCCCGCCACGGCGCGCAGCUGGGCCAUCAAGUCUUUCAUCCGCUCGAGAGCCUUGGGGACGCCGUCGCCCUGCCACCUGAUCCUGUCGGAGGCGCAGGAUUUUGCCUUGUCCAUGACGAUCUUGAUGAUCGGGCACACCAGCCAGCCUACCACCGCCUCCACCAUUCUCGCCGGACGGAGAUCGAGGCUGCGCGCUGUUGGUGGAUGGCCAAGGAGACUGGAGACUGAGGAGUGGAGUCAACGGCUGUGGCCUGUGGGGAGCUGGCCGCGGCCGUGCGUGCUGGGCUCACCCGGCUGGAGGGGACGAGGGGUUUUUGGGUGGUUUUGACGGGGCAAUUUCCGUGCGAUUUCGGCUGUUUUGGGAGUAUCCUUCCGGCAACGCAGAGAGCUUUGCAUUGACCGACUCGGCGACGCGGAUGGGCUUGGAAGUCUUCCACAUGAACACGGUUGGGUCGCGUCACUUCCGUGUGGCCGUGUGGGCACUGCAAUGAAGUGGCCAAUGACUACAGGACAGGAAAUUUGCAAGAUUGGAAGCAGGAAAUGUCAGUCUCUGCGAGGAUGGAACUUCUAUUUAUAGCGGGCACAUGUUUAGCGUCUUCAGUUGCAUCUAUGCAGGCUGGCGAUGAUUAUAGCUACAGUGCUUGCUUGAUUCAUUUGUUACGGUUGGAACGAAUAUCAAAACCCAUCGGUGUCCUCUACUUUAACGUCUACUAUAGAAGAUUUUAGUUAAUUUAAUGUUAUUCUUUUUACCUUUAACUAUAAAUAUAUAAAAUUUUAUAUAGAUUGACAAUACAAUACAAUUGGUAUUAUUAUAUUUGGGUUAACAAAUAGUUUCAUAGUAUAUGACACAUUCAGUUAUAUUUUUAUAGAUAUUACUAGUCAAAGUGUGAUCGUGAGAUCAUGCCAUUUGUUAAAUAUAUCUUAGCCCAUAUAUUGUAGCCCACGUGGCUAUCUCACUGCGUAUGCGCACCUCAAGCCACCCUAAUGCCAUCUUUCCCAUAAAUCAUUUCAAGGCAAUAAAUCAUGGCGCAAUCCAUUUUUUUCACAGCAACAGCACGACCGUUGCGUGUGUCGAUCGUCCCCUGCUUGUCGCACCCGCACGUUAAAUUACUAUCCUCACUAGGGAUGAAAACAGUUGGGAUAGAUCCCGAACUGACCACUUCCAUUUUCUACAUUAUGAUUUCAUUUUCGACCGUUCCCAUUUUUAGCAAAAUAUAAAAGUUGUCAGAUUCAACUAAUCUUAAUGUCAUUCUUCACCAUUUUUGUAGUAGUUUAUUUUCAUAAAUGUGGAAAAAAUCCCGACCGCCCCGCUUUUGUUUUCUACAUUAUGAUUUCGUUUUCGACCGUUUUCAUGCCUAGUCCUCAGCACUAGUUUCAUGGUCUGUCGUGCUGCCACUUUGUUGCCCCCGCUUCUAGCUCGUCAUUCAGUGCAGCCGUCGCCAUGAGCUUGUUGCUCACAUCAUCCUCGCUUGUUGUGGCUUCUUCAUUUGCCUCGGCCUGUUGGCUCCCUCCUAUGGAUCUUCAUGCAAUUUCAUCGUACUGAGGAGACACCUUUAGAGGAUCGCUCAUGAUAGACGCAUACUGUGGACAAUCUUGUUUAGGGGGUCUUUGGAUUGGAUUCUGGUUAUAGAUUCCACUAAAAAAAAU
RNAcentral lists this long non-coding RNA (5590 nucleotides) under Setaria viridis. RNAcentral's name for it is "long non-coding RNA (SVIR_LNC002880)". Lineage: Eukaryota; Viridiplantae; Streptophyta; Magnoliopsida; Poales; Poaceae. The record is from RNAcentral.